RNAcentral lists this ribosomal RNA (466 nucleotides) under uncultured bacterium. Its description in RNAcentral is "partial 16S ribosomal RNA". It matches the Rfam family "Bacterial small subunit ribosomal RNA", at positions 28 to 507 of the family's 1533-position model. The record is from RNAcentral.
GAUGAACGCUGGCGGCGUGCUUAACACAUGCGAGUCGAACGAUGAAGCUCAGCUUGCUGGGUGGAUUAGUGGCGAACGGGUGAGUAACACGUGAGUAACCUGCCCUUAACUCUGGGAUAAGCCUGGGAAACUAGGUCUAAUACCGGAUAGGAGCGCCUACCGCAUGGUGGGUGUUGGAAAGAUUUAUCGGUUUUGGAUGGACUCGCGGCCUAUCAGCUUGUUGGUGAGGUAAUGGCUCACCAAGGCGACGACGGGUAGCCGGCCUGAGAGGGUGACCGGCCACACUGGGACUGAGACACGGCCCAGACUCCUACGGGAGGCAGCAGUGGGGAAUAUUGCACAAUGGGCGAAAGCCUGAUGCAGCGACGCCGCGUGAGGGAUGACGGCCUUCGGGUUGUAAACCUCUUUCAGUAGGGAAGAAGCGAAAGUGACGGUACCUGCAGAAGAAGCACCGGCUAACUACGUG